Molecule: long non-coding RNA, 269 nt
Organism: Rattus rattus (black rat)
Lineage: Eukaryota; Metazoa; Chordata; Mammalia; Rodentia; Muridae
Exons: 2
Source: RefSeq, a predicted model, not a curated record
AUCCCCAGCCCAGUCAUCCUCCUGGAUGGCACCCGACCCUCCCUUACUACUGCCUGGUCCCCUAGGUGUCUGUGAGACUGCAGACCAAUUCCACAUCCUGAAUGAGAUGCCGAAGUGAAAUGAGGCCAUCUAGUAGAGAAGCUAUGGACUCCCCUCAGAGAGUUCUGAGCAUCCUGAAUACAAUCUUGGAGUCUCUCCUGUCUCUCCCCAGAAGCACCCCUUCAUAUGGCUCUGUUGUCCUGAGACUUUUCAGUAAACAUCAGACUUGG